This 560-nucleotide ribosomal RNA is filed under the name uncultured bacterium. Its description in RNAcentral is "partial 16S ribosomal RNA". It matches the Rfam family "Bacterial small subunit ribosomal RNA", at positions 355 to 902 of the family's 1533-position model. The record is from RNAcentral.
UGGGGAAUUUUGGACAAUGGGCGAAAGCCUGAUCCAGCAAUGCCGCGUGUGUGAAGAAGGCCUUCGGGUUGUAAAGCACUUUUGUCCGGAAAGAAAUCCUUGGCUCUAAUACAGUCGGGGGAUGACGGUCCGGAAGAAUAAGCACCGGCUAACUACGUGCCAGCAGCCGCGGUAAUACGUAGGGUGCAAGCGUUAAUCGGAAUUACUGGGCGUAAAGCGUGCGCAGGCGGUUUGCUAAGACCGAUGUGAAAUCCCCGGGCUCAACUGGGAACUGCAUUGGUGAACUGGGCAGGCUAGAGUAUGGCAGAGGGGGGUAGAAUUCCACGUGUAGCAGUGAAAUGCGUAGAGAUGUGGAGGAAUACCGAUGGCGAAGGCAGCCCCCUGGGCCAAAUACUGACGCUCAUGCACGAAAGCGUGGGGAGCAAACAGGAUUAGAUACCCUGGUAGUCCACGCCCUAAAAGGCGAUGUCAACUAGUUGUUGGGGAUUCAUUUCCUUAGUAACGUAGCUAACGCGUGAAGUUGACCGCCUGGGGGAGUACGGUCGCAAGAUUAAAAACUU